CUGGAAGUGGAGACUGGGGCAUAAGGUGGGGGGGAAGAGGUAACCGCCGGCCCCAAAGAGUGCACAGAUGCUCUGUGCGGGGUCGGCUAGUUUGAAUGUAAUUUGCCAUGAGUUCUAAGUGAAUCAAAUUCUCAAAAUGGCUUAAAUAGCAAAAUAUGAAGAAAUGGUUUUCUCUGCGUUUCCCUUUAUAAUCAUUACUAUUUUAUUUUGCUUUGUGCUUACAAAGUAGCUCAUAUAUAAAUAACUUUUACUGUAUAUAGACAACCUUUGGUGGGUUGAAGCAAGGAGCAAGUGUUGGUGUUGUUAAGUUGCAGUAAACCUUCAGAGUAACUUACAAAACAACUGUAUUGGUUGACACAAUGUACUCCAGUUCUUUGGUCCAUGGAUUGAUGAAACUGAGCCACUGACUUCUUAAGGUCAUUAGGAGUUCAAUUUAACAGAUGAAGACCAUGAGCAGCAACUUGCUCCAAGACACCGAAACUAGUGAGCACACUUCCAGUUCAGAGAUCAAAGUUCCGGGAAUGAGCGCAAUCUCUUGCAGCAACCACAGCACACAGCUGUUCCCUGGCUGGGAAAAACGCUAUGACCGACAAUAGCUGCCCCUGCUCCGGAUGCCCACAGUGGAGUGCGAUCAUUGCUGGAUGUUUUCACGCACAAGUGACCAGGCGAGUGCCUGCUUAGUUGGCUACACACUUUAUCUAGUAUGAAGCACUUGUAGGACAAGUGCUGAACCCACUCCGUUAUUAAUGCCUUGGGUGUAAGUUUUUCGUGACUCAUCCCCAUUCCCAAUUUCUGCAUAUCUCUGCUAAACAUAGAAGCACUAUGAAAAAAGCACUGUGACUGUAGAGUCAAGGGCAGCAUUCUAGACAUCCAUUUCUGUCCACACAGACUGAAACUAGUGGUUGUUAUCUGCAGGAUAUAUGUGCUGGUUUACUCAUUAAUUCAAUCAGACUCCAAUGUUGGAUUUCCAAAAAGUGGUUAUAGAAAAGAACACAAUGUUCAUAUAAAGACAGAUACAGGCACAUUCUCAAUGACUAGAAGCAUUUCUAGUUCUAAACAUGGAGAGAAGGUAAUUUGAAGAUUUGUUUAAAGUGUUAAGGUUUUCCAUAGUCAAUGUUUAAUGACCAGACACAAUGCUAGGUUCUAAUGGAUCCUCUUGUUCACAAGACAGGCUUGCAUGACCAAAGACACUAAAGUAUUUGAAAGAAGAUGCUCUUAUUUAUUAGUAUCUGGAUGUAUUCUGUAUACUGUUAACCUAGCCACAGAUCAAUCUAAUACAACUUAAUGAUACAGUCUAAAUGCAGUGGGCUGGGGCUGGGGAUAUUAACAGUGAGAUAACAGUAUGUUUAAGUGUGCAUGGAGGAACAGCCCUCUAUUCCUCCUAACCUUUUUACCGCUGCCAAGAGAACUUUUGGUAUGGCUGGGUCCACCACAACAGCCCUUCACAUUUAUCAAAAAUUUCAAAAACAAAAACAAACCUCAGUAGUGUGAAAAGACUUAUUGGUGUGGGGUGGAGACAAUAAACAAGCUUCUAGUUUUUUAACAAGAAAAUUUACUUGAGAAAAAUUGGUUGAAUGAAAACAUUUCUUUUACAGAAAUAAAAUACAAACUCAAAACAGGUCAGGGAAAAUAAAGAGCUGGAGAAACAUAAUCACUACCUGCCUCUAUACAGGUCCCUACUCAGAGUCCUCUUGUAUUUUUUACUGGGCUUGCUGGGCAAACUAUUUGUUCUGAGUAUGGCACAGGUCUGAGGCUCAAUCCAGCCUAGCUCUUCCUUUUCUUCAGAGAUUUCAGCUCAAAGGCUUCUCUUCUUCUUGCUGCUCACUCUCUGCAGACUACCAACUCUGCUGACUCACUCCCAGGACUCUGUCUUUCCUCUCUAAGCAUUCCCAAUAUAUGCAGUUUCUCUGCCCAUCAGUUCCUCAGCCCAGCCAAUCAGAACAACAACAAAAAAACUCCCUCUUUUAAAAAAUCUCCUUUACCUCCAAAAACCAACUGUCAAAUGCUAAACCAAAUGUGAAACUAGAGAAAAACAAGACUGAAUUUUUGACCCCACACAGAGACCGGCCAACAUUCUAUACAUAUAUACAAUGGAGAAGAGGUUUGUGCCUCAUUCCUUCAUAGUGCUCAACAUACAUUAGUCCAGUAAUCUUUACAACAGUCCUGCAAGAUAGUAUUGCCUCAUCUCUGUACUGCAGGCAGAGAGCAGAGGCCGAAAAAUAGUAACUUGCCUCAAAUGCCCUCAAGCAGAUUUAUGACUAAGGUGAAGUGCAAUCAGGGACUCCUCCACUUGUAGCUCAAAUCCUAGGCUACUAUGCUACUUGAGCUCUCACAUGGGCAGGUUCCAGAUGGCGAUUUACUCCUACUCCACUAUGAUUAGCAUGGGUGGAGCAAAUUCAUACAAAGGAAGCAUUUACAGCGCUUUCAACAUAACAGCAAAAUGUUGUUCAUAUUAUCAGUGGCAUUAUUUGCUUUUUUCAUAACAACUGGCCCUUAAUGUAUAAUAUAAGCAUUAAGUGUGGGCUACUCAGGCAUUUUAGCAGAGCUGUGUAGCAAGACCCAUGAGAUGGACGUGUGGUUACCUGUCUGGGAGUGACUUUGGGGAGUGUGGGCUCUACCUGCCCUCUCAGUUCCACUCCUGGGCAGACUUGCAUCCUGGGCCCUGCAGUCUCCUUCUGGUCCAGAGCUCCAUCUAAUACUGAUCCUCACCCCAUCAAAAAAGCGUUUGGGAGGGGGUCUUGGGGGGAGUUGGGAAGGCUGUGUUCCCUUCCAGAUGGUGCACUUGGGGAGGUAGAAUUUAUGGUCUCUCUCUCUCUCUCUCUCACACACACACACACACACACACUUCUUGUGUAAGAACACCAGUACUUCAGAGUAACUCAGCAAUGUUUCCUUUCAUAAAGGGAGAAAUAGUAAUAACAGGUCCAUGGUAUCUGGGGAGGGAGUGUGCAUGGUGCCCUGCUAUCCCAUAAGAUAUUGUUUUCAGUGAGGUGGUUUGGAGUUAGUGCUCCAUUGCAGUAGCUUAAGUUUCCCACUGAUCUAGCAUGCAGUUGUUGCACAAGAACACUAGGAUAUACACACACACACACACACUUCACAUACAUACAUACAUACAUACA
Long non-coding RNA from Hemicordylus capensis (graceful crag lizard), 3119 nucleotides. RefSeq lists it as uncharacterized. NCBI's taxonomy places the organism in Eukaryota, Metazoa, Chordata, Lepidosauria, Squamata, Cordylidae. The record is from RefSeq and is a predicted model, not a curated record. The transcript has 3 exons.